Molecule: regulatory RNA element, 46 nt
Organism: Anolis carolinensis (green anole)
Lineage: Eukaryota; Metazoa; Chordata; Lepidosauria; Squamata; Anolidae
Rfam family: Histone 3' UTR stem-loop
About the family: The mRNAs of metazoan histone genes lack a poly-A tail. 3' end processing occurs at a site between a highly conserved stem-loop (modelled by this family) and a purine rich region around 20 nts downstream (the histone downstream element, or HDE). The stem-loop is bound by a 31 kDa stem-loop binding protein (SLBP - also termed the histone hairpin binding protein, or HBP).
Source: Rfam
CCAAAGGCUCUUUUCAGAGCCACCCACUUCCUCUAUGAAAGAGCUG